GGAUGACCCGCCCUUCGGGUUGUAAACCUCUUUCAGUAGGGAACAAGGCUACACGUUGUGUGGUUGAGGGUACCUGCAGAAGAAGCGCCGGCUAACUACGUGCCAGCAGCCGCGGUAAUACGUAGGGCGCAAGCGUUAUCCGGAAUUAUUGGGCGUAAAGAGCUCGUAGGCGGUUUGUCGCGUCUGCCGUGAAAGUCCGGGGCUCAACCCCGGAUCUGCGGUGGGUACGGGCAGACUAGAGUGAUGUAGGGGAGACUGGAAUUCCUGGUGUAGCGGUGAAAUGCGCAGAUAUCAGGAGGAACACCGAUGGCGAAGGCAGGUCUCUGGGCAUUAACUGACGCUGAGGAGCGAAAGCAUGGGGAGCGAACAGGAUUAGAUACCCUGGUAGUCCAUGCCGUAAACGUUGGGCACUAGGUGUGGGGGACAUUCCACGUUUUCCGCGCCGUAGCUAACGCAUUAAGUGCCCCCGCCUGGGGGAGUACGGCCGAAAGG
This 492-nucleotide ribosomal RNA is filed under the name bacterium. RNAcentral's name for it is "bacterial SSU rRNA". It matches the Rfam family "Bacterial small subunit ribosomal RNA", at positions 406 to 893 of the family's 1533-position model. The record is from RNAcentral.